This is a long non-coding RNA of Schistocerca serialis cubense, 325 nucleotides long. RefSeq lists it as uncharacterized. The transcript is spliced from 4 exons. The record is from RefSeq and is a predicted model, not a curated record. Lineage: Eukaryota; Metazoa; Arthropoda; Insecta; Orthoptera; Acrididae.
CACGCUGCGGUCGUCAGUCGAACUGCCCACGCGAGUGCCGCGUCGUACUUGUGUUGUUUACAUCGGCGUCGCCGGCGCUCAGGAAUUCCUGGAGGAGCAGCAGCGGCCGAACGGAACUCGUGGGUGGAGGCACUGCUAUUGCGGAAGGGAAGCUGGAACGACGGUGGGGGAAGCCGAACCCGCCGCCACUGGCGCAGUUCACCCAGCCGGCUGUGAUGGAGUGAGCGCGCGCCGCCAUGCUGGCCGAGGAGCCCUUUGUGACGGUGGUGUCUGUGGACGGCGACGGCGCCGCCCCCAGCUCGCCGCCCCCCGCGCCGCCCCCGAC